RNAcentral lists this microRNA precursor (95 nucleotides) under Dendroctonus ponderosae (mountain pine beetle). Its description in RNAcentral is "mir-2788 microRNA precursor family". It matches the Rfam family "mir-2788 microRNA precursor family". The record is from Rfam by way of RNAcentral. Lineage: Eukaryota; Metazoa; Arthropoda; Insecta; Coleoptera; Curculionidae.
CAAGCCGGUUGACAAAUUUGGGGUUUCUUAGCGGCAUUUGCCAGUAUUAAAUGACUGCAAUGCCCUUGGAAAUCCCAAAAAUGUUCAAUACAUCU